Molecule: ribosomal RNA, 492 nt
Filed under: uncultured bacterium
Lineage: Bacteria
Description: partial 16S ribosomal RNA
Rfam family: Bacterial small subunit ribosomal RNA
Source: RNAcentral
AGUGAACGCUGGCGGUAGGCCUAACACAUGCCAGUCGAACGGCAGCACAGUAAGAGCUUGCUCUUACGGGUGGCGAGUGUCGGACGGGUGAGGAAUACAUCGGAAUCUACUUUUUCGUGGGGGAUAACGUAGGGAAACUUACGCUAAUACCGCAUACGACCUACGGGUGAAAGCAGGUGAUCUUCGGACCUUGCGCGAUUGAAUGAGCCGAUGUCGGAUUAGCUAGUUGGCGGGGUAAAGGCCCACCAAGGCGACGAUCCGUAGCUGGUCUGAGAGGAUGAUCAGACACACUGGAACUGAGACACGGUCCAGACUCCUACGGGAGGCAGCAGUGGGGAAUAUUGGACAAUGGGCGCAAGCCUGAUCCAGCCAUACCGCGUGGGUGAAGAAGGCCUUCGGGUUGUAAAGCCCUUUUGUUGGGAAAGAAAAGCAGCAGGUUAAUACCCCGCUGUUCUGACGGUACCCAAAGAAUAAGCACCGGCUAACUUCGUG